Molecule: ribosomal RNA, 306 nt
Filed under: uncultured bacterium
Lineage: Bacteria
Description: partial 16S ribosomal RNA
Rfam family: Bacterial small subunit ribosomal RNA
Source: RNAcentral
GACAGCAGCCGCCACGGUAAUACAGAGGGUGCAAGCGUUAAUCGGAAUUACUGGGCGUAAAGUGCGCAUAGGUGGUUUGUUAAGUUGGAUGUGAAAUCCCCGGGCUCAACCUGGGAACUGCAUCCAAAACUGGCAAGCUAGAGUAUGGUAGAGGGUGGUGGAAUUUCCUGUGUAGCGGUGAAAUGCGUAGAUAUAGGAAGGAACACCAGUGGCGAAGGCGACCACCUGGACUGAUACUGACACUGAGGUGCGAAAGCGUGGGGAGCAAACAGGAUUAGAUACCCGAGUAGUCCCUGUCUCUUAUAC